Molecule: ribosomal RNA, 381 nt
Filed under: Triticum aestivum (bread wheat)
Lineage: Eukaryota; Viridiplantae; Streptophyta; Magnoliopsida; Poales; Poaceae
Description: partial small subunit ribosomal RNA
Source: RNAcentral
AAUCUUGCACGGCGCAACUGGCCAGGAAGUAAGAAGUGUUGCUUUUGUGCUCAUGACGAGACAAUCAAACACCUCUUUUUCCAAUGCAAGUUUGCACGUUCUACAUGGUCAGUCAUCCAAAUAGCGUCAAAUUUGUAUCCGCCAACGAGUAUUGCCAAUAUAUUUGGUCAUUGGUUGGACGGAAUUUCAAAUAGUUUCAAAACGCUAAUAAGGGUGGGGGCGUAUGCCUUACUAUGGUCGCUUUGGCUAUGUAGAAAUGAUUUGAUUUUUAAUGACAAAAAUGCUUCUCCUCUGCAGGUUAUUUUCCGUUGUACGCACUUGCUUCGUACGUGGUCUACGCUACAACAGGCGGAGCACCAACCGCUGUUCAAGGCGGUGUGU